Molecule: ribosomal RNA, 479 nt
Filed under: uncultured bacterium
Lineage: Bacteria
Description: partial 16S ribosomal RNA
Rfam family: Bacterial small subunit ribosomal RNA
Source: RNAcentral
GAUGAACGCUAGCGGGAGGCCUAACACAUGCAAGCCGAGCGGUAGAGUCUCUUCGGAGACUUGAGAGCGGCGCACGGGUGCGGAACACGUGUGCAACCUGCCUUUAUCUGGGGGAUAGCCUUUCGAAAGGAAGAUUAAUACCCCAUAAUAUACUGGAUGGCAUCAUCUGGUAUUGAAAACUCCGGUGGAUAGAGAUGGGCACGCGCAAGAUUAGAUAGUUGGUGAGGUAACGGCUCACCAAGUCAGCGAUCUUUAGGGGGCCUGAGAGGGUGAUCCCCCACACGGGUACUGGGACACGGACCAGACGCAUACGGGAGGCAGCAGUGAGGAAUAUUGGACAAUGGGUGAGAGCCUGAUCCAGCCAUGCCGCGUGAAGGACGACGGGCCUAGGGGUUGUAAACUUCUUUUGUAUAGGGAUAAACCUAGAUACGUGUAUCUAGCUGAAGGUACUAUACGAAUAAGCACCGGCUAACUCCGUG